Molecule: non-coding RNA, 1951 nt
Organism: Callithrix jacchus (white-tufted-ear marmoset)
Lineage: Eukaryota; Metazoa; Chordata; Mammalia; Primates; Cebidae
Source: RefSeq, a predicted model, not a curated record
AGUGGGUCAGCUGGAAACCCUGCAGGCAAUCACAGCUCUCAGCUUCUUUUCUCACAACAUCCAUCACCGACUCCAUCAGCUCCACGCCUUCUGUAUAGUACCCCUUGGCCCAGUUGUUCCUGGCCCCACACUGACCAAAGUUGAAGUUGUCUGGCCCAAAGAUCUGCCCGAAGGGCCCUAAGCUCACAGAGUCCAUGGUGCCUGGAUCCAGAUCCAUGAGCACAGCGCGGGCCACGUACCUGCCACCACUAGCCUCUUUGUAGUACACAAUGAUGCGUUCUAGCUGCACGUCACAGAAGGUGUGACCCAAACCAAGAGUAAAGAACGGCAAGCCAUCCAGAUCACCAUGCUGUUCACAGACAAUGGGACCUUCGAGACGGUGUGGCAGGUCAAGUUCUAUAAUUGCCACAAGCGGGAUCACUGCCAGUGGGAAAGCCCCUUCUCCGUCAUUGAGUAUGAAUGCAAGCCCAAUGAGACAUGCAGCCUGAUGUGGGUGAACAAGGAGUCCUUCCUGUGAAAGUGGCCCUUUCUGAUGCUGCUGGACAAUCUUUUAAGAAACCUACUUUUAGAUAAACCAGCAAAAGCCUUAAACAAGGCAUGCCACACCAUUGCUGUUCCCCAUCUGGUACUGAUGACUUACUAGCCCUGGUUAUUUUGAAAGUGUAAUUCCCCUCUGAUCCAAUAUUCUUCACGUACAAGAUGAUAUGUACCACCCCCAAGAGUAUUUCCAUCUGUAUUUUGUGAUGGUGUUCCUGAAUCCAGUUGUUCUCGGUCAUGCUAUUGACCACUCGUGACUGCAGUUCAGUGGAACUGGCAGGCUUGUCCUACUCUUGACCAUUCUACUGACUGACCUUGGUGUUUUGUUUCCAAGUGAAGUGAUUCCUUCUUUUUUUUCCCAAUGUUAAAUUUAAAAAUAACGAUGUGUAUGGGUCCUCCCAUGUGUAAUAUGGUUAUAUGUAACUUGCAGUGUUUGUCAGCUUUCAAAGCAGGCUUUGUGAAAAUAUGAUGCAAACAGCAGUGAAUGGGACUCAAAUGUGUGCUUCCUAUAAACAGCUCAGCUUUUUAAUGAAAGGAUGAUAACAAACUAAAAGGACAAACAGGUAUGUAUUUACAACGUAUUAAAACUCUUUUAAGUAACUUAAGAGUUACUUAAAGUAUUGUGCAAUGGCCUAGUAGAAAUGGGGGAAAAGCAUUUGCUGUGGACCACCAUCAAAGUGACAGGAGUUGUAAGGUUACCCCUUUGACAAGCUUCCAUAGUCUUCAGACAUCCACACUUAUGGCAUCCCUACAUUCUUCUUCACUUGAACUUUGUAAAACUGUGUAUGGACCUGUAAUCAACUUUUGAUAUUUCUUAAUAAAGACAUUGAAAAAAGAAAAAAAAGAGUGGUCAGAGCCGUGCUCCUGCCGAGGGUCUGCUGAGUGAUAGCAGCUGCUCCACUGCGGACGCCGCGCCAUGGCGGAAGAGGAGCUGGAGGCGCUGAGAAGGCAGAGGCUGGCCGAUCUACAGGCCAAGCAUGGGGAUCCUGGUGAUGUGGCACAACAGGAAGCAAAGCACAGGGAAGCAGAGAUGAGAAACAAUAUUUUAGCCCAAGUACUGGAUCAGUCAGCCCGGGUCAGGUUAAGUAACUUGGCACUUGUAAAGCCUGAAAGAACUAAAGCAGUAGAGAAUUACCUUAUACAGAUGGCAAGAUAUGGACAAAUAAGUGAGAAGGUAUCAGAACAAGGUUUAAUAGAAAUCCUUUAAAAAGUAAGCCAGCGAACAGAAAAGACAACAACAGUGAAAUUCAACAGAAGAAAGGUAAUGGACUCUGAUGAAGAUGAUGAUUAUUGAACUAAAAGUGCUUACAGACUAGAACUUAACAGAACAAUUCUAGGACAGAAGUUAAGAUCUGAUUAUUUACUUUGUUUAUUGUCUAUAGGCCUUUAAAAAAAUAAACUUGUUAUGCAAAAU